This 278-nucleotide ribosomal RNA is filed under the name uncultured prokaryote. RNAcentral's name for it is "partial 16S ribosomal RNA". It matches the Rfam family "Bacterial small subunit ribosomal RNA", at positions 524 to 800 of the family's 1533-position model. The record is from RNAcentral.
AACGUAGGGGACGAGCGUUGUCCGGAAUUACUGGGCGUAAAGAGCUCGUAGGUGGUUUGUCACGUCGUCUGUGAAAUUCCGGGGCUUAACCUCGGGCGUGCAGGCGAUACGGGCAAUACUUGAGUGCUGUAGGGGAGACUGGAAUUCUUGGUGUAGCGGUGGAAUGCGCAGAUAUCUGGAGGAACACCAGUGGCGAAGGCGGCCUCCUGGACCAUUCCUGACACUCAGACGCGAAAGCUAGGGUAGCAAACGGGAUUAGAUACCCGGGUAGUCCCUGA